UACAGAGGAGCCAAGCGUUGUCCGGAUUGACUGGGCGUAAAGCGCACGCAGGCGGACGCGCGCGUGGGGUGUGAAAUCUGGCCGCUUAACGGCCAGGCGCCAUCCCAUACGGCGUGUCUGGAGUGAUGCAGAGGUCGAUGGAAUUGCCGGUGUAGUGGUGAAAUGCGUAGAGAUCGGCAGGAACACCCAGGGGGAAACCAAUCGACUGGGCAUCUACUGACGCUGAGGUGCGAGAGCGUGGGGAGCGAACCGG
Molecule: ribosomal RNA, 253 nt
Filed under: uncultured bacterium
Lineage: Bacteria
Description: partial 16S ribosomal RNA
Rfam family: Bacterial small subunit ribosomal RNA
Source: RNAcentral